UACGUAGGGUGCGAGCGUUGUCCGGAAUUAUUGGGCGUAAAGGGCUCGUAGGCGGUUUGUCACGUCAGGAGUGAAAACUCGGGGCUCAACCCCGAGCCUGCUUCUGAUACGGGCAGACUGGAGGUAUGCAGGGGAGAACGGAAUUCCUGGUGUAGCGGUGAAAUGCGCAGAUAUCAGGAGGAACACCGGUGGCGAAGGCGGGUCUCUGGGCAGUAACUGACGCUGAGGAGCGAAAGCGUGGGGAGCGAACAGG
RNAcentral lists this ribosomal RNA (253 nucleotides) under uncultured bacterium. Its description in RNAcentral is "partial 16S ribosomal RNA". It matches the Rfam family "Bacterial small subunit ribosomal RNA", at positions 524 to 776 of the family's 1533-position model. The record is from RNAcentral.